Long non-coding RNA from Apus apus (common swift), 1618 nucleotides. RefSeq lists it as uncharacterized. The record is from RefSeq and is a predicted model, not a curated record. The transcript has 9 exons. NCBI's taxonomy places the organism in Eukaryota, Metazoa, Chordata, Aves, Apodiformes, Apodidae.
GUAGGCAGGAGGGCAAGGAAAGAGAAGGAUGAGAUCAGGAAAGUAGGAGUGAAAGGCUUGAGAAAAUCUCUACCAGGAGAGCAAGGAGAAAAGCACAUUGAAGGUACACAGUCCAGUUCCUUGCUUGCAGACUGCCUCAGUGCCAAAAGAGCUUCUCGAAGUAGCUGAAAGGUGACUACUACCAAGUGCCUCUGAUUAUUGGUUUUGGCAUUCAAUUUUAUCAUUAAACCCUCUUGGAAAACUGAGCCUUCUUUUGAUGCUGAUGAUCAGCCAGCUCUUGCAGAGAGAUGCCAUGGCUAAAACCAAUUUGCAACCACGCACAAAAUAAAUGACAUCUCUGUUUUGGACAGAUGUCCAAACAGAUGCUGGGGAAAAGGUGAUGGGGUGCCUUGUGAAGAUCCACAUCACUUCGUAUUUCAGGGAUAGAUGUUUCAGAUAAUCAGUAUCCGCUUUGAAUUCAGCUAAUUCAGGUCUUAAAUGCCCUUGCUGGAAGAGGAAAGUUUGAAAACUGCAAUCUUCCUGGCUAUACUUCUUGAAUUUUCCACUUGUUGCUGCUGGCAACAGACUAUACCCUGCUCUGAGAUGACCAGUACUAACUCCAGAAAGGGUCCUGGUCAGGACUAGAAAAUAAGUAAAAGAGAGAAAGAAAACCACAAAGAAAGAGGCAUAUGAAAAGUGAAACAAUAUGGAGCUGGAGGUGAACUGAAACACUCAGAGGUAAUUUGCCUUGAGGAGCAGGAACCCUUGAGACCUGUGCGUAGAUGCUGGAAGAAAAGAUUCUGUGAACAACAGUAAAGGCUAUGAAUGUGCUAUCCUCUGACAGGUUUCUCAUCGGAAGAUACAAGCUGUCACGGUCCCUUGCCAAUCACAUGAGAACUGACCUAGGAGAACAUCAACUGAAGGUUGCCUUCUGACUGGAAAAUGAGCAGUCAAAAAGUCCCAUGGCCUUUCUGCUCUUUACACUGAAAGGAAAAUGAGCUGCCUGGUCAUAGGAUGAACGUUGUCUUGGGUCACCAUCGAGAUCCUGACCUGCCUAACUGAUGUGACACUGGGAAAGAGGAACCCAAAGGCUAAUAUUCUUUCAGGAAGCAUAAAUCGUAUUGCUGGAAGUAAUAGCAACCUCCUCAGGAAAAUCCCGUAGGACUCACGCCGCUCUGCUGUCUUGAAGAGCUCCGUUCCAAGUACAUCCAGGGUUGCCUCUUUCCCGGCGGACAUCCCGAGCAUUGCACUUGUGAUCAUGCACUGGGAGCUGCAGAUGAUGCCAAGGCAACUGGAUCUUUUUGCAUUAGGGUUUGCCUGGUGUUUUGGCCCUUAUGUGCAGUCCUGGGUCACAGGAGAAUCUGUGAGACUCCUGUCCCAACCAUCGUAAUUUUGGUCUCUCUUCUUACUUUUCAGUAUGCAUGUGUAACUCCCAUGAAUGUAAAUAAAAAUUAUGUACACACAUGGAGAGGGAAAUAGAUGCAUUUAUCUUGGCUGAAGACAAGCAGCGUCUCCCCAGGGAGCUACUUAGGAGGUUAUUGAGAAGCCAACAGCAAAGUGCAGUGGGCUGUACCUUCCUACAUGUGUGUUGCAGAAAUUAUUGGUGUGUUGCUGAUGUUUAUGGCAAACAAAUAGUUUA